This 832-nucleotide long non-coding RNA is filed under the name Toxoplasma gondii VEG. Lineage: Eukaryota; Apicomplexa; Conoidasida; Eucoccidiorida; Sarcocystidae. The record is from RNAcentral.
GUAGAGUGCACGCGAAAAGGGGUUUGCACUCCACAUCACUCCUUUUUCUUGGUACAAGGUGUUUCGCGCUGUCCACCGUGCUGUUUUUUCUCAAAAGGCUGGUGUGUGCGAAAAUCGCCCGCGGCCCUCUACGGGGCUCAAAGUGCAUUUGCCUGUGCAGGGAACCAUCGUGUUUUCUCGGGGUGAGCUGCGCUGUCAGGUUCUGAGAAACGACACUUUCGUCAUGCGGAAAAAAAGUGAGGCCUGAGUUGCUGGCCAGAGGCUGUUACAACUUUCUUGCGCGGGUUCCAACCGCGCGUAGUCGAACUGAGGUGCAAGAUUGCUACUGACUGCUGCCGUUUUAUUCGAGAAGAAGGAGUCUUUCCAUACCCCAGUUGUGUGACGCUCACUGCGGUUCGUGAAAGAGGGGUCUGCCAGUUGAGAAUUCUCUCGUUUGCUUUCUGUGUCUUUGAAGACAAGUUCUGCGUGUUUGGCAUCCAAACGCGAAGAAGAGGGGUUGCUCACAGGGUUUGUCGUUCCACAGUUUACCCCAGGAUCUGACAGACACGCAUGUUCCGUCAUUUUUUCUUGUCGCCUCGUAGUGUGACUCACCAGGUGGCAGAUCAUCUUUGGAGUUCUAUUCGCUGAUAUCGUCUAAGUCGAUUUCGGGAAGUUCAGAACAUAACCGUACUUUGUUGGUCUGUACGAGCGCGGGUGGAAGCAUGAUGCUGCGGAGCAUGUCUACGUGUUGAAAAUUUUCAUUAGCUGGAAAGAGAGGCUUGGCAAUCCUGUCAGCUGGAGAGAUGAACGUAAACAGACUCGGAGACGAGAAACAAUGUUAGGUCCAACGGCA